UACGUAGGGGGCAAGCGUUAUCCGGAAUUAUUGGGCGUAAAGAGUGCGUAGGUGGUUUUGUAAGCGCGGGGUGAAAGGCUAUGGCUCAACCAUAGUAAGCCUUGCGAACUGCAAGACUUGAGUGCAGGAGAGGAAAGCGGAAUUCCUAGUGUAGCGGUGAAAUGCGUAGAUAUUAGGAGGAACACCAGUGGCGAAGGCGGCUUUCUGGACUGUAACUGACACUGAGGCACGAAAGCGUGGGGAGCAAACAGG
This 252-nucleotide ribosomal RNA is filed under the name uncultured bacterium. Its description in RNAcentral is "partial 16S ribosomal RNA". It matches the Rfam family "Bacterial small subunit ribosomal RNA", at positions 524 to 776 of the family's 1533-position model. The record is from RNAcentral.